AGCAGCCGCGGUAAUUCCAGCUCCAAUAGCGUAUAUUAAAGUUGUUGCAGUUAAAAAGCUCGUAGUUGAAUUUCGGGGUUAGUAGAUUGGUCAUGCCUUUGGUAUGUACUGGUCUUACUGAUUCCUCCUUCCUGAUGAACCGUAAUGCCAUUAAUUUGGUGUUGCGGGGAGACUGGACUGUUACUUUGAAAAAAUUAGAGUGUUUAAAGCAGGCUAACGCUUGAAUACAUUAGCAUGGAAUAAUGAAAUAGGACGUUCGAUCUUAUUUUGUUGGUUUCUAGGAUUGACGUAAUGAUUAAUAGGGAUAGUUGGGGGCAUUAGUAUUCAAUUGUCAGAGGUGAAAUUCUUGGAUUUAUUGAAGACUAACUACUGCGAAAGCAUUUGCCAAGGAUGUUUUCAUUAAUCAAGAACGAAAGUUAGGGGAUCGAAGACGAUCAGAUACCGUCGUAG
RNAcentral lists this ribosomal RNA (450 nucleotides) under uncultured Glomeromycotina. RNAcentral's name for it is "SSU rRNA". It matches the Rfam family "Eukaryotic small subunit ribosomal RNA", at positions 569 to 1023 of the family's 1831-position model. The record is from RNAcentral. Lineage: Eukaryota; Fungi; Glomeromycota.